Molecule: transfer RNA, 70 nt
Filed under: Lampsilis powellii
Lineage: Eukaryota; Metazoa; Mollusca; Bivalvia; Unionida; Unionidae
Description: tRNA-Val
Source: RNAcentral
ACUCAAAAAGUAGUAUAUAAAUUACAAUUCGCUUACACCGAAUAAAAGGCAUCUACACCCUUUUUGAGUA